Molecule: non-coding RNA, 72 nt
Organism: Ctenocephalides felis (cat flea)
Lineage: Eukaryota; Metazoa; Arthropoda; Insecta; Siphonaptera; Pulicidae
Source: the annotation of a RefSeq genome assembly
GGCUCGUUGGUCUAGGGAUACGAUUUCCGCUUAUGGUGCCGGAGGUCCCGGGUUCAAAUCCCGGACGAGCCC